GUAGAAUAUCAGCUUUGGGUGCUGGUGAUGGGGUAGUUACCUCUUCCUUGA
RNAcentral lists this transfer RNA (51 nucleotides) under Odobenus rosmarus rosmarus (Atlantic walrus). RNAcentral describes it as "partial tRNA-Pro". The record is from RNAcentral. Lineage: Eukaryota; Metazoa; Chordata; Mammalia; Carnivora; Odobenidae.